CCCGCCGCCGGAGCAACAAGUCUGGGUGUCCUCGAGGCGGGACCCAGGAGCCCCGAGGGCAGCGCGUGCGCCUUGCUUCUCCUUCGCUCAGGAUCGGGGCCAGGAAUGUCCUGAGGAGGAGUAUCUGUGCGUUCUUAGAGCAAGGAGCGGACGCGGUUGUGUGGACCGUACAUGCUGAAGGAACCAUUAUGGUUCUAUUGACACGAACAUGUAGAGGGACUUGACACAUCCAAGUAGUGUAGGAAUAGCUCCCCCCCUCCCCCGAAUCUAUAUCAGAAAAGCACUGGAAGCCAGGGGGUAGUCUUUCGGUGUGUAGAUUUUGUGUUCUCCUCUUGGGUCGUCUUUACAUCACAGUUUGAAACGACCACAUUUUAUAGGAAUCACAAAUUAUACAGGAAAUGCAUAGGCCACGUGGAGCUGAAAUGAGAGUUUCACAGUCCUCAUUCCCGAUGUUUCAUUUUUCUCUUGGUCUCUUCUUAAAACUACUUUUAAGUGCUUACUACCUACUUUUCUUGGCGAAAGGUGUUCUUCAGACUUUAUCCGGAAAGGAGUUGUGCCCAGGCUCCCUGGAGAUCAGAUAUAGAGUCAAAACUACAUUGCCUGCUUCAAAAUCCAUGGGGCUGAGUAUAGGUCACUGAACACAAAAUGGCCUUUCCUCUCUUGCUUACUGAGAUGGUUUAAUGGAUUUUGUAAUGGUAUCAGACUGGGGAAACCUGGUCUCGGGGCUUUGUGUUCACCUAAACCAAACACAACGCACUGUGUUAAAUUCCUUGCCUUAUCAAUGUAAAUCUGUAACAAUGGAGUGGAAUUUCUUAGGGCAAUUCUGAAACGUCAUGUUUUGAUACACAUGUUUCAAACAUGGUUCCUGAGUCUAAAUGUGAAAAGUCCUCAGAAUUUUCCAUUUAGUUGAUUCUGGGCUUGAAAGAUUUCUGAAAAUCCUUUGAAUAGUAUUCUACAUACAUGUGCCACAAAACUAUGAUAUUUAAUUUUCAGUUUUUACUAUUAGUCCUUCCCCUCCCCUUUUAAAUCAGGGGGUUUUGUGUGGAAGGAGUGAGUUAUGGUUGAUUUCAGCUUUCAGGGGAGUAGAGGAGGGGUGAAUGGCAACAUUUUAAAGAAUUCACAAACCAAGUAAGGUUAAAUAGCUGAUUAAAGCAAAGAUUUUUUUGUGUUAUAAGGGGACCUAGUUUUUGUCUUUGCAGACACAGCUCCUUCAAAGUCCCUGAACUUUUCCACCCACUGUGUGCCCCGUGAAUGUCAGCUCAUAUCUGAAGUUUCAGUUGCCUUUUUUUUACACCUGUUUUUUGAUGCUGUUUGCAAAUCUAAUUUCUUUUGAAUAAAAUUAUUUCACAGUUUUUAUUUUUCGUGCUCAUACUUAGUUUUUCUCCCUAGCUCUUAUUUUAAAAUUCUCUUUCAAAGACUUUUACUUCAUCAAAUUACUUAUUACUUAAAUGGCAUUACUCAUAGUGGUAACCGACACCAUGAGGUAUCAUGGCCGACUUUGGUAAACGACGUCUAGUCCUAGUUUAGUUAAAAUAAUAAUUUUUUUGUACUUGACUCUUGCAUCAAGAAGAAUUUACCUUUGUUAAAUAUCUCAAUUUAAAUAUUGGAGCAUAAGUGGGGUAGCAACCAGAUGCAAUAAUCAGAAUAUAGGCGAGUUCUUGAAAACUCUAAGUGUUAUACAGAAAAUUAUGAUGAUGGUUAAUUGAUUUAUUCAUUGAUUUGUUCAUUUAAAAAAUAUUUAUUGAAUGCCUACUAUGUGCAUGUUAGAGCUGUUGGUAUAAACAAGAGAAGCUGCCUUAAACCAACUGAGUAUUUAGAAAAGAAUUUUCAUGGAAGAAACCAGGUAGCUCACAGAAGCAACAGAAAUGCAAGAGGUACAAGCUUGGAAAACACGUAAGAACCAGGGGAGAAUAGGAGCUAGAGCAGGGUCAAGGUCACUCCAUGCAACAGACAGCCUCUGCUGGUGCUGCUGUCUCUGCUGCUGCAGCCAGAGUAACUUCUCUGCUAUCCCUGUAUUUUUACGUUGCCUCUACAAGAACCAGCUGGAUGCCUCCCUAACUAUGAGAAGGUGAGAAGAGGGUCAUUGCAUUCUACUUACACUGCAUACUGUAGGGAGUUUCUUUAAAAUAAGAAUGAUAUUUGGAUCAAGGGCAGUAAAAAACCCCCAGAAAACAAACAAAAGCACCCAGAAAUAUGUUACCACAUAGGUGCUGGGGAUAGAACAAUAAACAAGUUAUAUAUGGACCCUACCCUCAUGAAUCCUGUAUUUUAGUGGAAUAUUUUAUUUCAUAUUUUAAAAUAUUCAUAUUUAUAAUACUUACUAUUAAAUAAUUUUUAAAAUACAUUUAAAAUAUUUAUACUUUAAAAUGUUUUAUACUUGCAUGAAUUUUUAUAUUCUUUGUAUAAAAGAGGGGAAAAAACAGUUAUUCAGAUACCAUCUCAAAGUAAUGGGCUAACUUUCCUAAUUUUCUUCUUUUUUUUUUUUUUUUUUUAAUAGAGAGCGCUGAGUGGGAGAGAGAGGGGCAGAGGGACAGAAAGAGAGAGAGAAUCUUGAAUGGAAGCCAAAAUAACUUUGAGAGAGCAAGAAUCUUAAGCAGUCUCCACGCUCAGUGUGGAACUUGACACGGGGUUUGACUAGGGGCUGGAUCCUAUGACUCUGGGCUCAUGACCUAAGCUGACAUUAAGAGUCGGUUGCUCAACCAACUGAGUCAUCAAGGCGCCCCUAUUUUUUUUGUUGUUGUUGUCUUUUGGGUAUGGUUGGAUGUUGGUCAGAAGGCACAAGUCAGAAAUUACUGAUGUAGGAGGUGCUGUGUCAGGUCCAUCACCCUCAGUCUCAAGGUCAAGAGUGUGGUAGAAACAAGUUCUGGAACUGGAGAAAGGGCCCUGUAUUUAGGUCCCAGUCCUAUUCUUGUCUCCUGUGUGAUUGUGGUCUACAUUCUGUAGAUGCUCUCUGAGGUCCUCUCCAUGCUUCCAGUCUGAUUUAAUAUAGAUCCCCUUUUAUCAAAAUGGGGUCUUUAUGGUGAUUGCCUUAAUUUUCUGAGGGCUUUCUUUUAGCUAUUCUAAAAUUAGUUAUGGAGCUUACAGCCUUAAAAAGCUAUUUCUGAUGGGAUACAUUUGUAAUGAUUAACUUCAUAUUCCAAAAAGCUUUUAGGAUUUUCAUUUUCAUAAAUGAAUUUUCUUUUAUUUCUAAUUACAAGUGAUUUAGUUCAGUGAAUGGGCUUGUUGCUUUCGGUUUCAGAUUACAUUCUGGGUUUUUCCUAUCUGUAACUAAUUUUCAGACCAAGAAAGGCAGAAGGAGUAGAAGACAAAGUGAGAGAACAGAAACUGUCAUGAUUUAAAGUAAUUGGGGAGUCUAGAAUUGCUUCAGAGAUAUGUUUUUUAAAAAUAUAUAUUUACUACCGAUUGUUGACAGGUAUUGCUUUUGAAGAGAAUUUUAAGUUUUAUGUGGACAAAAUUACUUGACGGAGCAAAAUCCUUGUUUAAACCCUAUUUCUUCAAGGUGGAACCAUGGUGAUAUUUACUAUAUCAUCAAAGCGUCCUGACUGGAAAGAUGUGGGAACAGUUUCAAGGGUCAUGUUUAACAUUAGGUUUGUUACACAAUAUAAGCAAACAGUGGCAACCCUGGAUAUUUUGUAUUCUUGGUAUUCUGAAAAAAAAAAAAACUGGGUGUCAAGCAAAUGAACCCAUAUUAAACCAGGGUCAGUUGCUUUGUACAUGAGCCCUAUGUAUGACCUAUCUUAUUUUAUUUUAAGUUUUUUAGAGUAACCUCUACACCCAAUGUGGGGCUUGAUCUCACAACCCAAAGAUCAAGAGUGUCAUGCUCUAUCGACUCACUGACUGAGCCAGGCAGACACCCUUGUAUGACCCAUUUUAAAAAUGAAUAAUCCCUUGGCAAAUCAGUCAUUUAAAAACAUAUGUACUAAAAAUAUUGAUUUUUGCAUUUUGGGGUUGCUGACAGUAGUGGGUGUUUGGGGUGGGGUAGGUGGAGCCAAGUUGGCAGCAUGAGGAGUCAUAUCUAUAGGAGUUUAUUGAUCCAUAACGGGGUAAGAUUUUUUUCCUCUGCUAAUUACCCCUUUCCCUAUGACAUUUCAAAUCCUGCUCAGCCUUUAAUAUUGUGUUUGUAAACUUUCUGGGUGAGAUCCUUAGUAGGAAAUGGAUUUUAUGUUGCAACCCUAGCACAUAUAUAUGCACAUUUCAGGAAUGAGAGACAUCUUUUUCAAUGCCCUAUUGUAGUGAAACCUGUGAAAUUAAUUACUAAAAUGUAGAGCCUGGUGUGAUGGUUCUGAGAUGUGUUAUUUUCUUCUCUGUAUAGCAUUUGUUUUUCUUACUGCUCAUUCCGUACCUGUCAGGUAAACCUUGGUAUUAUUAUUUAUGUAUGAAGUUUAUUGCCUGUUUUAGAUGUUAAGCACUUGAGGAUGCCAUCUAGGAGGGAAGUCUCCAGUGGCAUGCCACAGGGCUCUUGAUCCUAUCUUGUUCAAUAUUUUUAUUAAAGUCUUUACUGAAGGUGUCAAAUUUGUAGGUGACACAAAGCUGUCAGCCGUAGCUAAUAUACUGAAAGGUGCAGUCGAGAUUCAAAGUGAAAUGUAAAUGUUGGAAUGAAAACCAGCAUGAUGUAACUUAACAAAGACCAGUACAAAAGCCCUUUACUGAGACUGACAAAUAUAAAUCAAGGGAGGUUCUUGGAUUGUGACAGCAGUGCAGUGUGAAAAGAUGGGGAGAUUAAUUUACUAUAAAUGCAAAACAAUCCAAAAGUAUUAUGUUGCAUGCACGCGCGCACACACACACACACACACACACACGUAAUCGUAGGAUGUGUUACUAAAAACAUGAUAUAUAGCUUACAAGGAAGAUAACAGGUCCCCUGCAUUCUGGGCUGGAGAUUUAUCUAGCUCUAGCUGCCUUGCUUUAUUUUACACAUUGAUAAGUUAGAGAUUAGUAUGGGCUCUCAGGAUGUGAGGGAAGAGGAAACUAUACUUUAUGUGGAAGAGUUAGGGCAAAUGUUUAGCCUAGAGAAGAGGCAAAUGAUGUGGUAUGUGAUUGCCACUUCAAAUAUUUGCCUAGCUGUCACAUGGCAGACAGGGUAGAGAAGUUUUUCCUGCUCCCUGCGGCAGUGUUAGGACUAAAGGGUAAAAGUGACAGAAGAUCUGACUUUGAUCCUAAUAAUUAAGGUUUUCCAAGAAUGCAGGGAGUUGCCACAUGAAGGAGUAAAUUCUUCACCCAUAGGAGUAUUUUGCAAAGGCUGAGUGACUGUCUGGCUCGAAUGCUUAUUAGUAAGCAGCAGCUGAAUUAGGUGGCAGAUUGAAAUAGAUGAUCUCUCCGGUUGAAUUCAAGAAUUUGCUGAGUUGAAUGCUAAAAAAAAUUUUUGAAAGUGAUUUUAUAUAGAUUUAAAGAGAGAGAGUGUUACUGCUAUUCAAGCUUGUACGAUUUUCUAUCGUAAGGCACUAUAAGUCCAUUUACCCUUUCAUGAAAAAUACAACUUUGUUUCUUAUCUGCAUUUUUAAAAUCCAAAGAAAAGCUUUGAAAACCAAAAGUGUCUUUUUAACAUUCUUAUUUUUUAAUGUUUUUUUUAAAUGUUUAUUUAUUUUUGAGAGAGAGGGAAAGAGAGAGAGGAGGGAGGGACAGAGAGAGAGAGAGAGAGAGAGAGAGAGAGAGAAAGAGACAGAAGGUCUGAAGCAGGCUCUGGGCUGGCAGCAGAGAGCCAGAUGUGGGGCUUGAAUUCACGAACUGUGAGAUCAUGAGCUAAGCCGGAAGUCGGUCGUUUAACCAACUGGGUCACCCAAAUGCCCCCCAAAAGUGCUUUGACUCUUAUGUUGAAAUCACCUUAACUAAAUGGAUAUGAGAUUGUUUCAGUGUUUAUUAUACUCAGAAUGAGCAUUCAUUCAUAUCUCUGCAGAAAUAUUUUGUGUUUGAUUACAGGGUACUGACUCAGACCCUGCUAGUGGUUGUGUAAUAUACGAUUUUUGCCACUAACGUCUUUCAAAUAUCUGAAAAAUUUUCAAUUCUAAAUCUAUCUCCAAAGAAUUUGGGUAAGGGAUUGUUAUUAUUAGCUAUCCUACAAUUAGAUCUUGUUUCCUCAGGGUAACUUGAAUCCAUUGGCCAGAAAUCUACUUAAGCUCUAUUACUUCCCCAUGCUAGCAUGAUUCUCAAGAACUAUUAUCUGAUCUCUAAAACUUGUCACAUGAGGAUUUUGCUCUACGAGCCAAAUUUAUACUCUAUAGGGAAACAAUUAAGUUGAUCUGCCAUUUCCAUAUUUAUUUUAUGAAGAGGUUGGUGGCAGAAAUUUUCAAUGUCAGGGGUCUCCUCCCAAAGCAUAUUUGGUAUUACUUUAGUCUGGCACUGGGUGACAAUAUCACACUUUUCUGGUCUAGGUGGACGAUAUAGUAGGAUAAGUUAAUGGCUUUCAUUUUACAAAUCUUUUCUAUAACUAUUACUCAUUCUGUAGACAUUAAUGGGACACCUACUCCCAUCUAACCCUCGCUAGUCAACACUGUUACAAAGAUGAAAGAGAUCAAGAUCGCAGCCUUAAUAUGCUCACACACUCAUUCGAUCCUCAAAACAAAUCUGCUAGAUAAGCAGGGCAGAUAUUGUUGCACUCAUGUUAAAGAUGAAAAAAUGGGAGUCUCAGGGAAGUUAAAUGACUUGCUUAGGGUCACACGUCUAAUAAGUGCUAGAGCAGGACUUGAACGCAAGGCUUUUGUUCAGAGUCUACUUACUUUUCCACACACAAUGAGAAUCUGUUGUUUGUGAUACAAAAUGUAUUUUCUCCUCACCCAACCCUUAGGCUGCUCAGAAUUUGUAGCCACUUCCGGUGUUUGGAAAAUGCAUUGUGAAAUGAGUUUUUAUGAAGGUGGGUCUCCACUUCUUACUAUGAAAGCCAACAUGCCAACUCUCCCUUUUGUCAGCUUGUGGCAGUUGGGACUCAGGAAAAUCAACUAAGCUCAGCCAAGUAAAUACACUUCUCUGGAGGGAAGACACCAAAGACCAAAAAAAAUGGAGACAGCCUAGAAUAAGUCCAGGUGAAGCUGGGGUGGCAGCAGCAGCUUAUCAAUCAGGCUGGUUCUUUGGCUAUGAUUCCUUAUAUUUAAACUUCACUGAUUUCAGACCGUUUUCUAGAGUUGGCAUCCUCUUUGUUCUAUUCUGUGAGCCAUCUGAUUUCCUUUCACUAAAUUUGUCGGCAAAUUUAGCCCGAGUCAGUUUCUGUUGUUUCCAAGCAAGAGCUUUGACCAGAAGAGAUCCGUUUUGUAGAUGCGGUGAUGGACAUUGGUCCUAUUUUGUACGUAUUUUGAAAAGAGACUUGACAGGAUUCGUUGAGGGACUGGAUAUGGAAUGUGAGAGAGAGGAGUCAAGGGUGACUUCACAAGUUUUGGUCUGAGUUAUUGAAAGAAUAAGCCUGCCAUCAGUGUCAGCUCUUUAUUAACUACAAACCACCCCUAAAAUAGCAGACUAAACCAACUACCAUGUUGUUAUCUUUUAAACAUUUUAUUGGUUUGGGCUUUUUACAGUAUAAUGGCUGUGCGUUUUGAAAGGGGGAGCUUCCUGAGAGUGAACAUUUCAGAACCAGAAGGGAGCUGCAUGAGCUUUUCUGACUGAGCCUCAGAACUCACAUAGUGUCACUUCCACCAUAUUCUGUGGCUAGAAUUAUGCACAGGCUCAUCCAGGUUAAAAGAGAUGGGGACAAUGAGGUGUCAAAGAACUUGAAGCCAUGAUUUAAAACUGUCAUGCCAUUUGCUAGGGAGUUAGUUCUAAGAAAGCUUUCUUUCUUUUUCUUAGAAGCUCUUAGGGAAAGACAGGGAGAGGAACAAGCUGAGGCGGGGAGAUCAUGUGUUCAAAUAUUGUAAGUAGAGAUGUCUAUUAGGUGUUCAAGAGGAGAUAUUUGAUAGGUUAAUUGGAUAAGUCAGGAGUUCAGGUAAAAAAAAUUGAGGCUAAAGUUAUAAAUUUAAGAGUUGUAUAUAUAAAAAUGGUUUGUCCAGUCAUGAGACUGGUUGAGAAAGAUCGUCUAGAGAUGUAGCUUUAUAAUGUUUUGAAACCAGGGAGUGUAACGCCGCUAGCUUUGUUGUUCUUGCUCAAAAUUGCUUUGGUCGUUCAGGGUCUUUUGUGGUUCUAAAUGAAUUUUAGGAUUAUUAUCAUCAUUAUUAUUAUUUUUGAGAGAGAGAGAACGAGAGAGAGAGAGAGAGAGAAAGCAGGAGGGGCAGAGAGAGAGGGAGACAAAAAAUCCGAAGCAGGCUUCAGGCUCUGAGCUAUCAGCACAGAGCCCAAUGUGGGGCUUGAACCCAUGAACCAUGCGAUCAUGACCUGAGUUGAAGUCAGAUGCUUAACCUACUGAGUCACCCAGGUGCCCGUUUUCUAUUUCAGUAAAAAAUGCCAUUGGGAUUUUGAUGAGAAUUGUGUUGAAUCUAUAGAUCACUUUGGAUGUCUGGUAAUAUGUUGAACAGGAGAAAUGAGAGUGGGCAUCCUUGCCUUGUUCUGGAUCUCAGAGAGAAAGCUUUCAACUUUUCAUUGCUGAGUAUGAGCUUUUUAUAAGUGGAUUUUAUUGUAUUGAGAAUAAGAAAAGAAAAGAAAAAGAAAAAACAAUUGAAUAGAUGGACCAGCGGACCGACUGAACUAUGAUUGAAAUUACAUUGGUUUCCCCUGGAAGUCAAACUAUGAAGCCUUUUAUAGUUCAUAAACUAAGCAGGCAGAGGGACUUGUGUUCCUCCUCAAGAGCGCGGUUGGUCCAGUUGGGCAGGGUUUAGUGUAACAGCUCCGGUCUCUACUAGAUGGCGCUGCUUACCUUACUGAGUGCAACCACUGAAGACCUCGUGAAGAAAGCAGUAUGCUGGAAAGACACAUAAAAUCCACCAUCGAGACUUCAGCACUAAAGCUCCCAUUGUAUUGUUCCAGUACAGAGCAGCAGAUGUGCAAACCGAGGUGCAAAGGGACCUAAUGAUGUCUCAAGGUUACCUGGAAAAUGAGUAACACUGAUUGAGAACUCACAAUGCUCUUUCUUCCCUGGAAGGAAAGAUGAGAAACAAGGUACCAGGUGAACAGAAAAGGACCCCCUCUUCAUGUGGACUUGACCGCCUCAUCACCCUCCAAGAGGAGGAGGAAACACUCAUUCUUGGAACCUUCAACCUCCCUGCGAGAAGUCUGAGGAGGUGGAGAUCACCACGCUGGAAAGGCCACAGGUCAACAUGCUGCUCUCUAGUCCCAACUAAGCCCAUCCCCGAGCCACACCAGCUCAGCCACCUCAUGGAUGGGCCCCGCAGCCCCAGCUCUUUCAGUCACGGAAGUCACGCCAGCUGAGAGCCUCACAUCAUGGUGCCGACAGCCUCCUGUCCCACAGAAUCUGCGAGCAUGAUCCAUGGCGGUGGUUUUGUGCCACUAAGUUUGGAGGUGUUUGCUUAUGCAGUAAAAGAGGCACGUGCAGGGGUGUGCACGUGAGUCACCUGCGGGUCUCGCUGAAACACAGACUCUCGGUCAGCAGAUCGCAGUGGGGUCCGAUGAGGUCCUGCCUUGUUAUCCAGCUCCCAGGUGAGGCUGAUGCUGCUGGUUCCAGACCACACGUUGAGCAGCGAGGAAUUUGCGAACCUUCGGGAUCCAGUGCACCAGAGCCAAAUGGCCCCGGAGGCCCCGUGGAGGCUGUUUUCGCUGAAGCAGGGUGGUUCCAGUUCUGAGGAAAGCUUCUCAUCACCCCUGGUUAGCCCUGCAGCAACUCUGACCACCUCCCUCUCUCCCUCUCCCCUACCCCAACAAAACAGGAUGAAUGAGACCUUGGGUGCUUGGCCCUGUUUCUCUAGCACCCUGCAGUGGGGAAGCAGCUUUCUCCCAUGUGCCCAUCCAAGGUUUCCCUUCCAGCCUGUCCCCUCCUGCCAUCUCUCCCCAGAGCUGACUUUCCCACCUUGAGUAGUUCCUACCUGCCUUGUGUGAGAGGAAGAAAUGCUGCCUGUGGUUCACACCUCACCCCUCACCACCGUCACCCCUAGGCCGGGGACUAUGGCCCUGGACUGAUGUCAUUAUCUCCUAAGAAGUUCAUUUCCCGGAGGCUUCUUCUGCUUCCACCAGGGAAACCUUUCUGGAGAGAAGGCAU
Molecule: long non-coding RNA, 10066 nt
Organism: Acinonyx jubatus (cheetah)
Lineage: Eukaryota; Metazoa; Chordata; Mammalia; Carnivora; Felidae
Exons: 8
Source: RefSeq, a predicted model, not a curated record